AAUACAGAAAUGCACACAUAAAAUACAUUAGUACAGAAAUUUUAUUAAUUGGAAAUAUUUCAUAGUGACAUCCCAGGCAAAUUACCUUUAGUAGUUGCUUUAAAAUGCUUACAAUAAGUGUAAUAUUGAGAUCUGUUAGUGGAUAGUCAAGUAUAUUCUAUUUUUGAAACUGCAUAUUACACACAAAUGUUAUUAAUUUCGAAUUAUAUCAGGCAGGGUUUGUAGUCAUUUAAAAACUUGUUCGUGAAAUUGUGUCCCAUCACUAAUACUAUAGAGAACAGAAACGAAAAGACAGUGUUAUGUAAUCUUUGAUAAACAAAGAGUCAAUGAGACUCUUGGUCGUGAGAAUCUUUUAUUCAAAAUUAUACUACGGUUUUAAGAGGGGGGCGGAAUCUUACUCUUCCAAAAAGAAAUUAUACACGAAUGUCCCUAAUGCACUGCUAGGUAUUUUAGGAUCUGGACCUUAGACCUGUUGACACCAUUAAAGGAUCAAACUGCGCAGAAGUCAGUCCCACGUCUGAACAGUCUUCAAUUCCUCCAUUCCUUACUUUUGUUACGUGUAGUCUGUAUUUGCAUAAGCGCGAUGACCAACAGGGUUACCAGAUUUAACAUAAAAAUAUAGGACGCCCAGCUGAAUUUGAAUUCCAAACAAUUUUUAAGUACAAACACUAAAAAGUAUUCGUUUACCUGAAAUUCGAAUUUUACUGGACGUUCUGUAUUACAUCGGGCAAACUGCUUACUUCAAGAUGAUUUGUUAACUUACAGAAAUCUCAGUAUGUGAGGCAGAAAGUAAGUAGCCUGGACCAACAGCAAAUAAGUAUCACGGCAGGAGGCCUUCUUCUAAACUUGGCCUUAAAAAAAAAAAACAAAAAACCACCCACCCAUAAGUCCCAGGAGCCUGCGCAUUAAAGCGAGCUGUACAGUGGCUUUCCCGCCGGUUUUCCGCGAAAUGCAGCACAGUGGGCACCCGCAGGGCGGAGUGUAAAUGGCCGUGUCCUUGCGGGAUAGGAAAGGAGGUGCCGGAAACUUUGAACCCCGGCCAGAGCACAACGUGUCCACUUAGACGGCGAUGCUGGCUAUCUGUUCUUCUUCAACUAUUAAUUGGCAUGUAUGGAGAACUUCACAGACAGUGAGGUCAGGAAUUCAGGCAGGGCUCAGUGUGGAUGGCUCCUCUCUGCUCUGUGAUGUCUGUGGCCUCAGCUGAAAUGGCCUGAACAGCUGAGAGCUGGCUGGGCCUCUCUCCUCUUCAUGGUAUCACCUGGAGUGACUCAAGAGGGAUUUGGGGAUGAAACAUGGCCUCACUUCCAAUGUCUGGGCACUUUGGUUAUCUCCCUGGUGGCCUCUCAUCACUCAGUAAUGUAGUCUGACAUUGCAGUGUGGCUGGCUUCCAAGAGUGAAAGCAGGUGCUUAUGAGGCCUCUAGAGACCUAAAUUUGGAAUUCUCAGAAUGUCACUUCUGCAUUCUAUUAAUCAAAGCAAGUCACCAGCCAGACCAGAUUCAAGGGGUAGGGAAACAAAUGCCACCUCAUGAUGGGAAAAGGAGCACUUGUGAACAGAUUGUAGGAGGCAUUGUUGGCAGCCAUCUUUGGAGACAACCUACCACAGGUUUCAAGAGCUAAUCUGAUAAGCUAAACACUGCUUCUGAGAGAAUGCUAGAAGACUCCUCCAUCUUCCACAGAGAAGAAAUGUCUUAACCUUCAGGUAUCUAAUCUUGGGAUUGACUCUUAAUGACUCUACAAUUGAGUAAGGAGGAGGAAGCAUCAUACACAUUAGGGUACAAGUGAAGAGGAAGAAGCUGAGGAGGUUUUACAAUAAAACUAUUCUAAUAUGAGUGUUUUCUAACUAGUCUGCUCUUCCAGACUAAGCUUCAGAUAAGCUAUAGCCUACUUUUUAGCUUUCUUUUGUGAAUCAAUACUUAAGUUAUUUUUAACAUUGUGUUAUUUUCUAGAUUACUUUUAACUUCCUGGACUCUAGAACUAAGCAGUGUUAGCAUUCUUUGCUAUCUUGUCCCAUCUGUUAACUUUUCUCUAUAAGAUGGAACAUUUUACUAACACUUUGUAAGUACUUAAAAAUGCUUAAGUGACUAAAGAGAGUCUUGACUUUUACAGUCUUCAGCGAGUAUAUAAUCACUGGCCCUCUCAAAAAUACCUCCUGGGAUGAAGGGAUCAGUCAACAAGAGGAUAUAACUCUUGUAAAUAUUUAGACAUCCAACAUAGGAGCACCUAAAUAAAGCAAAUAUUGAGAGACCGAACGGGAGAAAUAGACAGCAAGACAAUAAUAACAAGGGGCUUUAAUACUCCACUUACACCAAUGGGCAGAUCAUCCAGAAAGAAAAUCAAUAAGGAAACAUCAGCCUUAAGUGACAGGUUAGAUCAGAUGGAUUUAAAGAGAUAUUUAUACAGAACAUUCCAUUCACAAGCAACAGAAUAUACAGUUCUUCUUAAGAGCACAGGGGACAUUCUCCAGGAUACAUCAUAUGUUAGGCCACAAAACAAGUCUUAACAAAUUUAAGACUGAAAUCAUAUCAACCAUAUUUUCUGACUACAAUGGUAUGAAACUAGAAAUUGGAUAUAAGAAGAAAAGUGGAAAAUUCAAAUAUAUAGAGAUUAAACAACAUGCUACUGAUCAGUGGGUCAAUGAAGAAAUCAAAGAGGAAAUCAAAAAAUAUCUUGAGACAAAAGAAAAUGGAAAUACAACAUACCAAAACCUAUUGGAUGCAGCAAAAGGAGUUCAAGAGGGAGGUUCCUAGCAAUAAAUGCCUACCUCAAGAAACAAGAAAAAUCUCAAUUAUACAGCUCAAGGAAUUAGAAAGUAAACAAAGUCCAAAGUUAGAAGGAAGAAAAUACCAAAGAUCAAAGCAGAAAUAAAUAAAAUAGGGACCAAAAAGACAACAGAAAGAUCAAUGAAACCAAGAGCUGGUUCUUAGAAAAGAUAAACAAAAUUGACAAACCAGUAGCUAGACUCACCAAGAAAAAAGUGACCAGGACUCAUAAAUACAACUGGAAACAAAAGAGGAGACAUUACAACUGAUACUACAGAAAGGCAAAGGAUCAUAAGAGACUACUAUAAACAAUUAAAUGCCAACAAAUUGGACAACCUAGGAGAAAGAUAAGUUCCUAGAAACAUACGACCUUCUAAGCCUGAAUCACGAAGAAAUAGGAAAUCUGAACAGACUGAUUACUAGGAAGGAGAUUGAAUCAAUAAUAAAAAAAAAUCUCCUAACAAACAAAAGUUCAGGACCAGAUGGCUUCACGGGUGAAUUCUGCCCAAGACUCAAAUAAGAAUUAAUAUCAAUCCUUCUCAAACUCUUCCACAAAACAGAAGAGGAAAGAAUACUUCCUAAUUUUAUGAGGCAAGCAUUACCUGACACCAAAACCAAACAAGGAUACCAUAAGAAAGUUACAAGCCAAUAUCCUUGAUAAACAUAGAUGCAAAAAUCCUCAAAAAAAAAAAAAUUAGCAAACCGAAUUCAACAAUACAUUAAAAGGAUCUCAUGUAGGAUUGAUUCCAGGGGUAUGAGGAUGGUUUAACUUCUGCAAACAAUGUGAUACAUCAUAUUAACAAAAUAAAGGAUAAACAUAUGAUCAUCUCAGUAGAUGUAGAAAAAGCAUUUGGCAAAAUUCAACAUCCCUUUAUGAUAAAAACUCUCAAUGAAGAGGUUAUAGAGGGAACAUACCUCAACACAAUAAAGGGCAUAUAUGACAAGCCCACAGAUAAUAUCAUACUGAGUGGUAAAAAGCUGGAGUCUUUUCUUAUAAGACCAGGAAUAAGAAAAUGAUGCAUAUUCUUGUCAUUUUUUAUUCAGCAUAGUAUUGGAAGACCUAGCCAGAGCAAUUAGGCAAGAAAAAGAAAAGGCAUUCAAAUCAUAAAGGAAAAGGUAAAACUGUCACUAUUUGCAGAUAACAUAUGAUAAUAUAAAAAGUCCUCCAAAGAUUCUCCCCCCCAAAACUGGUAGAGCUCAUAAAUGAUUUCAGUAAAGUUGCAGGAUACAAAAGCAAUAUACAGAAAUCUCUUGCAUUUCUACACACUAAUAACAAACUAUC
Molecule: long non-coding RNA, 4042 nt
Organism: Zalophus californianus (California sea lion)
Lineage: Eukaryota; Metazoa; Chordata; Mammalia; Carnivora; Otariidae
Exons: 3
Source: RefSeq, a predicted model, not a curated record